UGGUGGAGUGAUUUGUCUGGUUAAUUCCGUUAACGAACGAGACCUCAGCCUACUAAAUAGUACUGCGAAUGCUUUGCAUUCGUAUGUGACUUCUUAGAGGGACUUUCGGAUACCAGCCGGAGGAAGUUUGAGGCAAUAACA
RNAcentral lists this ribosomal RNA (141 nucleotides) under uncultured eukaryote. Its description in RNAcentral is "partial 18S ribosomal RNA". It matches the Rfam family "Eukaryotic small subunit ribosomal RNA", at positions 1299 to 1458 of the family's 1831-position model. The record is from RNAcentral.